Molecule: long non-coding RNA, 2183 nt
Organism: Heterocephalus glaber (naked mole-rat)
Lineage: Eukaryota; Metazoa; Chordata; Mammalia; Rodentia; Bathyergidae
Source: Ensembl
CCUGGGUUCAGCCCUUAGUACUGUAAAACAAACAAAACCCCAACAAACAAACAAAAAAACCCCAGCAGCCUCUAUGGCAACCCUGGUCACUAUGGCAACCAUGAAACCUAGAACUAUCCAGUCAAUAAGGCCAGCAGACCAGGUUUGGAGCUCUGCUCAAAAAGUGCUGAUUUGAAGCACUAUCAUUAUGUGACCAUCUGGCAGUUUCCUGGAAAACUAUCAUUUGAAGGACCCAUUAUUUGACCUGACUCAGCAACUCACUGGGGAAAGCCUUAUUCCCAGGGAAUGUGCCUAAAUCAGUCAGUGACAACUAUACAACAUGUAACAUUGCAGCUGCCUGAGGCUGCAAUACCAGUUGAGCUCCUGAACCAGCAGUCCUUCCCGGCACAGGUUUGAACUCCUUCUUAUCAGUUGCUAGUCCAGCUUUCUUACCAUGUACCAGCUCUACUUUUUCUGAACAUUCUUUGAUCUGGAAAAUGAAAGUGAGAUGAACACGUAAGUCCAACUUUGAAACAUAACAACCCAACAGCCAGGCCAGUAAGACAUUUUGCUGCCAGAGCUACCAACAUGACAUUGGUGUCCUUUCCAACAACCUACAAUGGAAGAAAAAGGAAAACAAGACAGUCACAACUGUGUAGAAGAGUACUGAAAAACAUUCUCAAAAGAACUCUGAAAGCUACUGUGCUAAUGGAUGAUCCAUCUUAUUUCCUAUAAAAGAGGAAACCUUAUUCCUCUUUGAUAAUAAUGAAUCUAGAAGCCUUUGUCAUGUUCAGUCUAUCUUUAAGUUCUACAUAAAGCACACAUAAAACAACUUCAAAUCGCUUGACACAGGUGGCAAUUUGGGCUGUCACCAUCACACAGCUGCAGGAGGUGACUCAGAUAACGGCGAUGCUGCAGGUUUACUUUUGGAACAAGAAAAUUAAAAAAGUGUACUUAACACCACAGGGCCCAAAGUAGGUAACUACAAUGUCUAAUAUUUAUACUCAUGAAGUACCAACAGAAACUUUGAAGUUCAGAACUCAAAAUUUCAAAUGCAUCUGAGGGAGUGCCUAGCUUUGGAGCUGCCACUGUAGUCAUACAAGGACAGUCAUAUAACCUCUGAGAAAUGGAAAGCCCACAGAAUACUGAAAAAAAGACAGUUUUAAAAAUAAUUUCAGAAAUCCAAAAGGAAUUUCAAAAUAAGUUUUUUACUGUUUACACUAGAAGAAAAAAAUGGGAAAUUAAUUAGAUUACUUGAUUUAGAUAACAGAGAGAAAACAAUAUUAACUGUAGGAGGAGGAAUCAAGUCUGUAUCUUAAUUCCUUAAUAUCAUUCUUUUUUUUUUUUUGUAGUACCAGGGAUUGAACUCAGGACUUGUGAGGCAGGCACAGCACCACUGAGCUAAAUCCCCAGCCCUCUUAAUAUCAUUUUUUUCUUCCCAUUUUCCCAUUUUUGAUAUGCUGCUGUGAAGUCAACAUAAUAUGAAGUUUGCAUAUUUGUGUGUGCACCUAAGUAAAAUCAAAUAUAAAUAUUGCGAUGUCAUGGUUCAGAUUAAUUCACACAAUGAUGAAAUUAAGUUUUCAUCAUUUUAAAUAUUUUAGCCACAAAAUUAACUUUCUUUUUACUUGCAGCUUUUGACUGAUAAAGUUUCUACAGCUGCCUAGAUUUCUCAGGUAUCUACUGACUAUGUCUACUCAGACUAUGUCAUGGGCUGGAGCUGUAACUCAGUGGUAGACCAUGUGCUGAGCAUACUCGAGACCCUGAGUUUGAUCCUCAGUACCACAAAUAAGGAGAGGAAAAAUAAGAAUAAGAAAAAGAAAAAGGAAACCAACAGUUCCCUUUGUAUGCAACACAGUGAGAUUACAGUUAUAGUCACAAUGCCAACAGAAAUCACAGAACUGUCUUUGAAAAGCUAACAACCUAAAAAAAAUGUGUAUAGAGAAUACCCAUUCCUAUUAAAGACAAAAAUAAAAAGCUAUUUCCUGUUUCUUAGUGUCCUCUUCCUCUCUCCUUCCCAUUCUUUCCUCCAGAUCUCAGGUCGCUAACUCCUUUUCCCUCAGGGAAAUUGUUUUUUUAAUUAAUCAUGUCUAUGGCCCUUUAAAAUACAAAAUUGGUGAAUGAACAAAGAUCUGACAAAUCAUAUCCUUGCCAUCAAGUCCCAUUUGGAGGAAAGCAUAGGAAAGUCAACUACUACAGUAUUAGGA